This 382-nucleotide ribosomal RNA is filed under the name uncultured prokaryote. RNAcentral's name for it is "partial 16S ribosomal RNA". The record is from RNAcentral.
CCCUACGGGGCGAGCAAGAUGAAGGUGGCUGUGGAGCAUGCCAUGGAAAACCUGCGCCUCAAGAAUGAAAUCGAUUAUCACCGGAGGCAGCAGGAUGUUGUUUACGAUAUGAACCGGAUUGUUGCAGCCAGCCCCGUCAUGAAAAAUACCAUCAGCAUGAUCCGCAAGCUUGCGCUCACGGAUUCCACGAUUCUCAUGACGGGCGAGACGGGUACGGGAAAACGCUUUCUUUCGGGGUGCAUUCAUUUCAACAGCCAGAGAAAGAGCAAGGCGUUCGUGACCAUCAAUUGCGCCAACAUUCCGGAAGCCCUCCUGGAAAGCGAGCUUUUCGGACAUGAGGCCGGCGCCUUUACGGGGGCCUACAAGGCUAGGGCGGGAGAGC